RNAcentral lists this long non-coding RNA (2815 nucleotides) under Musa acuminata (dwarf banana). RNAcentral's name for it is "long non-coding RNA (MACU_LNC006046)". The record is from RNAcentral. Lineage: Eukaryota; Viridiplantae; Streptophyta; Magnoliopsida; Zingiberales; Musaceae.
AGAAAUCCUCCAUCCUAACUAGUAUAAAUAGAAAAACAUAUCAAUAAAAAACAUCACGACAUCCAAGAUGGACGUGUAGGUGCCAUUUCCAUCCUUGGACACGACCAUGUCUGCCUGAAUGUCGAUCGUCGGUACCUAUAGCAAUCGUCGAUCCUUCUUCACCACUCAUUCAGAAUGCUGUUGACAAGAGAAAUGCAUUAAGAUCCCAAGGUUUCAAUCCGUUAUUAUAUUUGAGGAAGAUACUUAUUAUUUUAAGCAUUUAUUUCUCUUAAAAUUCGUUCUUUUUUUUUUGUGUUCUCGUGCUCGAACAUUUUAGGGAUAUAGUUCGAACAUUUUAGGGAUAUAUAUCGCCGAGUUGGUUUCCAAGAUUAGUCACGAUAAUGAAUAAACUUUUUUAAUCGAUCAUUGUUCACAUAGAUCGUAUCUAGAAUUUUUGUCUGAAUUUGUUGUUCUUCUUUUCAACGAAUUGACUAUUUAAGGUGGGAAGGAGAACCAACCAUCUCUUCCGCAGAUCAUCUCCAUCGGCACCGAUCCCAGGUCAACUAAGCGUGAUUCGACCGUGACGGUAACGUUAAGCGUAAAUUGGGUUGGAAGAAAGGGCGUCAAGGACGUGAUGUCUCGUUCCAUAUCACGCAGGUUGAGGCGUCAGCUCAUUACUCUGCUCUCUCUGCAAGAAUUACAUGGCUUUGAUUCCACUCUCCCUCCUCCUCGCUUGCUUCAUCUUCUUUUUCUUCUUCUUCUUCUUCUUCUUCUUCUUCUUCUUCUUAUUCUUCUUCUUCUUAUUAUUCUUCUUCUUCUUCUUCUUCUUUGAUUCCACUCUCCCUCCUCCUCCUCGCUUGCUGCUGCUUCUUCUUCUUCUUCUUCUUUGAUUCCACUCUCCGUCCUCCUCCUCGCUUGCUGCUGCUGCUUCUUCUUCUUCUUCUUCUUCUUCUUCUUCUUCUUUUCUUCUUCUUCUUUGAUUCCACUCUCCCUCCUCCUCCUCGCUUGCUGCUUCUUCUUCUUCUUUUCUUCCACUCUCCCUCCUCCUCGCUUGCUUCUUCUUCUUCUUCUUGCUCUCAUGACGGCACCGUGUUGAGGCAUUCCCGACCACGACGAUGCCAUGCUUUUCCCAGUUUAAUCUGUGGCGCGGAGCAUUGGAUCACAUCGCCCGCUACUAAUGAAAUCGGUGUGAUGUGGUAAGUAAACCUGAGGCGAGAAUGCAGCAGCCACCGAGCGUCGUGCAUCGACCCGUAGCCAUUGGAAUCCCAUGGGCGCCUUCAAUCUGCCGCUGCACUCGAAUGCUUCGAUGAAAAGUAUUUUAAGAGUCCUAAAAUUAGAUUUGAAAUUAUUCGAUCCGUUAAAAAUGUAAUUAUGAAAAACACCCUUUCAUGAGUUUGGAUAUGUUUAAAUAAUACUAUUUAUUCGUCAACGUUUUGCAAGUGAGUCCACAAAGGAUCGAGAAAGGAAUUUGAAUCUGGAUUUGUGCUAAUUCAAAAGAGAUUUUUAUUUUUUUUUUGUGCUGUGAAGAAUCUGAUUUAUGGAUGUAGGUAAGAAUUGUGGAAUCAUAUAUUUUGCAUCAGUUUUCUAAUUUAUUUUUUUAUGAUUAAUUUUAAAAGUUUUCUCUUUCCAUAAUAUAUAUGAUAUUUGUGAUAUAUCUUCUUUAAAUUCAUACGACAAUACCACAUGUUAAAUUAAUUCUUAUGUGUAUUCAAAUUCGUUCAAAUCGAAGCAUCAAGGGUCAAAUUAAAUCAAAUAAAAAAAAUGAUUCGGUUCAAAGGAAGGUACUUCAAACUAAAAUCAUUUGGAACCUAAGUAAUCGAUUACGUAUGGAUUAAGCUACUGUCAAAAUCAUCAAGCCUCAAGAAGAGUAAAGGUAAUAAUAUUACUUUUUAACUGUGCUUGAUUGAUCCAUACUUCUAAAAAUGUUUAGAUAUUUUAACGAUACAAUUAAAAAGUUAAAAUUAUAAACUUAAAAAACUAUUACUUUUUAACUGAGCUUGAUUCGAAUCGAUUAAUCAAAUAAACAAGAUAUCUUUUCAAAUUAAAAUUAUUUAUAAUCUUUAAAACUAAAUUACUGAUGAACCGAUUCAGAUUAAAUCGGUUCGAAACCAAUUCGAUUUGGUUUGAUUUAAUUUUUUGAUUCGAUUUGAAUACCCCUAUUAAUAUUACAUUGCAUUCUUGCAUUACUUUCUUCUUCUAAACAAUUCUUCGACCUAACUGUCAUCCUUUGUGGUAGCCAUAACAUGCAAGAUAUUGUCUCCAUCUCAUUUAUGGCUCUUCGCCUUGUAAUACAACAAUUCUGAUCCGUGGGGACGAAUACAACUCAUGCUCUUUGACCCAUGCUGUCAUUUCUUUUUUUUUUUUUGUCUAUCAUACUAUGACUAUGAUUUAUUUUGUUCACGAGAAACAUGUUUCUUAUGUUUAUGCACAGAGGGAGUAAUAUGUUAUUAGAUUUCGUGUUAAUCGAAGUCUCACGUAUUAGAUUAAUCUAUUUCUAUACUUGUGUUUUAAUGGAGUGGAUACAAGAUCCUUCAAAGCAUUACCAAUCUUUACGCGUUCUCCAUGAACUCAGCCCCAAUAAUAUGUUGAGGCAAAGGAAGACGAGAGACGUGAACUCACGGGAUGCAAUUACGAGGGACGACGAUGAUGAUUCCUCGUGGAAAAGACACGCAAUUAGAUGGAGAUUACGAAAAGAAAUGGCAUUCCACUUGCAAAAACUGUACAUGAUUUCUUUAAUAAUCUCCACAAGUUAAGCUAAGGUGGAUGACUUUCCUGGGAUUGGACUCCAUCCCAAUUCCCAAUUAACAGCUUGUAACAUAUGAACCAAUUAUGAAAG